This 445-nucleotide ribosomal RNA is filed under the name uncultured bacterium. RNAcentral describes it as "bacterial SSU rRNA". It matches the Rfam family "Bacterial small subunit ribosomal RNA", at positions 337 to 798 of the family's 1533-position model. The record is from RNAcentral.
UCCUACGGGUGGCUGCAGUGGGGAAUAUUGCACAAUGGGGGAAACCCUGAUGCAGCAACGCCGCGUGCGGGACGAAGGCCUUCGGGUCGUAAACCGCUUUUCUGGGGAAAGAGCAAGGACGGUACCUCAGGAAUAAGUCUCGGCUAACUACGUGCCAGCAGCCGCGGUAAAACGUAGGAGGCGAGCGUUAUCCGGAUUUACUGGGCGUAAAGCGCACGCAGGCGGCUCUGUGAGUCGGACGUGAAAGCUCCCGGCUUAACCGGGAGAGGCCGUUCGAUACUGCGGGGCUUGAGGUAGGGAGAGGAAUGCGGAAUUCCCGGUGUAGUGGUGGAAUGCGUAGAUAUCGGGAGGAACACCUGUGGCGAAAGCGGCAUUCUGGCCCUCACCUGACGCUGAGGUGCGAAAGCGUGGGUAGCAAACAGGAUUAGAUACCCCUGUAGUCCUA